UGCAUAUCAAUAAGUGGAGGAAAAGAAACUAACAAGGAUUCCCCUAGUAACGGCGAGUGAAGCGGGAAGAGCUCAAAUUUAAAAUCUGGCAGGCUACGCUUGUCCGAAUUGUAAUCUCGAGAAGUGUUUUCCGCGUUGGCCUGUGUACAAGUCCCUUGGAACAGGGCGUCAUAGAGGGUGAGAAUCCCGUCCUUGACACAGACACCCAAUGCUUUGUGAUACACUCUCAAUGAGUCGAGUUGUUUGGGAAUGCAGCUCAAAAUGGGUGGUAAAUUCCAUCUAAAGCUAAAUACUGGCGAGAGACCGAUAGCGAACAAGUACCGUGAGGGAAAGAUGAAAAGCACUUUGGAAAGAGAGUCAAACAGUACGUGAAAUUGUUGAAAGGGAAACGAUUGAAGUCAGUCGUGCCUGCCUAGAUUCAGCCUUCUGGUGUAUUUCUAGGUCGGCAGGUCAGCAUCAGUUUGGGGGGGUUAACAAGGGAGCUGGGAAUGUGGCAACCUCGGUUGUGUUAUAGCCCAGUUUCGCAUUGAUCUCGCUGGACUGAGGAACGCAGUGCGCCCGCAAGGGUUGGUCUUCGGACACAUUCGCACUUAGGAUGCUGGCAUAGCCACGCGUU
RNAcentral lists this ribosomal RNA (616 nucleotides) under Cystofilobasidium infirmominiatum. Its description in RNAcentral is "partial large subunit ribosomal RNA". It matches the Rfam family "Eukaryotic large subunit ribosomal RNA", at positions 37 to 640 of the family's 3401-position model. Lineage: Eukaryota; Fungi; Basidiomycota; Tremellomycetes; Cystofilobasidiales; Cystofilobasidiaceae. The record is from RNAcentral.